UGGAAGUCUUCGGGUACACUGAACUCGCCU
This 30-nucleotide non-coding RNA is filed under the name Mus musculus (house mouse). The record is from RNAcentral. Lineage: Eukaryota; Metazoa; Chordata; Mammalia; Rodentia; Muridae.